AUACUGAGGUCAGAUGCACUUGAGUAUGGAGAAAAUCUCGUCAGAUUAUGGCUGGUUAUUGAAAGACUUUGUGUCUCACUGCCCAGGAGCAAAAUAACUAUAAGUGCUGUACCAAGAUGCCUCCAACAGGAUUUUGUUCUUCGUCCCAUGUAUGAGGAGGCCAUGUAUUUGAGUUUGACACAUGGUCUUAUUACCAAAAGGUUAUAUGAAUGGAUUCUAAUCUUACAGCGGUAAGCAAAAGUGUUGGCUGCCAUCCAUUUGGGACCGCAAGCAACUUGGUAUUUACUUG
Molecule: unclassified non-coding RNA, 289 nt
Filed under: Hevea brasiliensis (rubber tree)
Lineage: Eukaryota; Viridiplantae; Streptophyta; Magnoliopsida; Malpighiales; Euphorbiaceae
Source: RNAcentral